Molecule: long non-coding RNA, 1069 nt
Organism: Uranotaenia lowii
Lineage: Eukaryota; Metazoa; Arthropoda; Insecta; Diptera; Culicidae
Exons: 4
Source: RefSeq, a predicted model, not a curated record
GCUUCAACCAGCGCACUUGAAACGCUUUGAAUGAGGCAUUCUUUAAUAAAUGCAACCGAAUUAAAAAAUUAAAUAGUUGAUAACAAACUGUGAAAAGAAAAAAAAAAACCUCACCUUCGAAAUUUUCCAGCAUACUCCGGACAUCUUCCUUUAGCCGAGUGUUGUAUGACUUCAGGAGUGCUUCCUUCGACUGUGUAAGGUUGCGCUGCAUGUUGAAGAUUGAUCAAGGGCUUCGAGGUCAAUUAAUCACUCGAGAAAUGUAGAAAAACCAAUGAAAAAGACCAAUUUUUGAUAACUUGUGGCUUGCGGCUAGCGCGCACGAAGUAUUCGGGCUUGAUUUCUUCCUUCUCAACCCGCUGAUUUCGAACUGAAGAAUCGAGUGAUUGAGGAGAAGAUCCGAGAGGCCAUCGCAGAUCCGGUGGAACAAAUAUGAACACAGAUCGGGUGUGGCAACGGGGGCAACUGGAAAUAAUAAUAUCCGAGAACAAUAAAAAAAAGGUCCGUCUCAGCUGUAGAAAAAUGCUGCUCAGCAAGGCUCAUCGAAAAACGUCUGGAACUUUUCAUCACCUACAGCUCAGCAGAAGUCAAAUUGAGAAGGGAUCUGGCUACAGGGUUCCGGUCGGCAUACUGAUCACCGUAGAGAGGGCCACCAACAAAAAUAGACUGGCGGAUCCAUGUCCAUUAUCAAUCUUGUCAUGAUCAUUUUCUAAGAGGUGAGGUUCCAGGUGUUGGUUAGAUAGAUAAUCCGUCUCGAUAUAAACAAAGCAACGCCAGCUUCUAUUAGUCCUGGAGUUCUGGAUCUGUUCCAUGAACUGGCUAUGUAAGUAUGGGAAGAGCUGUUCCGGAAAAUUUUCAACGGAAGUACGAGGGCGAAGCGAGCUAUGAUUAUUUUGAACUUGGAGUAAAAACAUCGAUUUACAUUUUCGCCAACAUCCCUCCUAAAUGGGAAUUUCAGAUCGAACCACGAUGCAAAGGAAACCAUUUCGAACGAAAUUUAAUUGUUAUUGCGUCUCAACAUGUAUUAUCAGAAUCAAUUGUGUAUAUUACGUUUCAUGUUUCCCAUGCUUAA